Non-coding RNA from Suricata suricatta (meerkat), 1819 nucleotides. NCBI's taxonomy places the organism in Eukaryota, Metazoa, Chordata, Mammalia, Carnivora, Herpestidae. The record is from the annotation of a RefSeq genome assembly.
AGUACCUUCAGGGCCUCAGUGAAGCAGAGCUCAGACCCCAACCUGCCCACGGCCCCCCACCCAGUCAGUCUCCUUCCAGCAGGCGCAGCUGGGAGGUCCCCUGGGCUGCUCUCCAGCAGGUGGGAAACAGAACCAUGCUGGGUCCCCUCGCCUUCCUGUGCACCCUCCUUCUUCCCGGUGGAGUGGCAGCGCUCAGUCUGAAUCAGCCGACUGUGGUCGUCGGGCGCCUGGGAGGCUCAGCCACCUUGCUCUGCACAGCCAGCGAAUCUGUCAGCUACAUCCACUGGUACCUCCACCAGGAGGGGAGCGCUCCCAAGAGGAUCCUCAUGCUGGAUAUGUCAAGGUCAUAUGUGCAGAGAUAUGGAGGCUACAGAUCAGACAAGAUCACUGCCAAGAGAGUCAGGAACACCUACAGCUGUGAACUGUCACUGCUGAAGCUGGAGAAGCGGGACGAGGGCGCAUACUACUGCGCUGCCUGGGAAGCUCGGGUUGGGAGUAGGUGGGCUCACAAAGUGUUCGGCCCUGGCACACUGCUCAGGACUACAGACAAAAAUCCUGAUGAAGACAUUUCCCCCAAACCCACAAUUUUUCUUCCUUCAAUUGCUGAAGUAAAACUUCAUAAGGUGGGAACAUAUGUUUGUCUUCUUGAGGACUUUUUCCCUGAUGUUAUUGAGAUAGAUUGGAAAGAAAAGAAUGGCAAAACAGUUCUGGAGUCCCUGCAGGGAAACACCAUGAAGACUAAGGACACGUACAUGAAAUACACCUGGCUGACCGUGCAACAAGAGUCAAUGGAUAGAGAACACAAAUGUAUCGUCAAACGUGAGAAAAAAGGAAAAAACGUUGAACAAGAGAUUCUUUUUCCUUCCGUAAACAAAAGUUUGGAGGAGGCAAAAAGAUCUGAAGUGAACCCCCAGGGGCAUUCAGAGACAAGGCAAAAGCCUGGGCUGGUAACCGUGAGCCCUCUGGGUUCUCUGUCCUCUUCACCGGUUUCAUGGGCUGCAGAACUUGCUGCUAUUAACUACACAAAAGCUUCUCUGAAAGAUGAAAAUGACCCUCUGCAGUUGCAGUUCAUGAACACCUCUGCCUACUACACCUACCUCCUCCUCCUGGUCAAGAGCAUGGUCUACACCAUCAUCAUCACCAUUGGUCUGCUUGGGAGAGGAGCACUCUGUGACAAUGGGAAGAGGUCCUAACCUAUGUCACCACCAAGGGUUGACUUUUCCUCAUUGGCUAUUAUCAUACAAGAGUCUGCUGAGGAUCUAGUGGGACUUCCUUUCUGGGUUUGGGUCAUUUCAUUUCACAUGUGUCUUCUUAUGUUCUGUCAUUAUUGCAGAAUGGGUUUGCAAACCCCUGGGCAAACAGGAAAUGUCACUCUGCACCAGGAACAAAUUCUGCCAUGAUUCAGGGGAGAGGUGAGGGACAUCCAUGGGGGCUUCAGCACUAUUCUCUCCUUACUGUCCACGGCCUCCUCAGCCACCCAGCACCCUUGCAUCUGCCUACAGCCAGUGUGCAGCUUCCCUAGCAUCCCCUGGGUUUUUUUUUCCAAAUAAAUGCCUGGAGUCCUUUUGUUUUACAUUUCUGGAAGCUGCCAUCUUUGCUACCUGAACUUUGUACUGUUUUUCAUUACAGGCACAAUAAAAAACAACCAAAAGCCUACUUUUGCCUCUGUGGACAUUCUUUUGGUGAAAUACGAAGACAAGGUCAGGGACAGCAUGACAACUGAGCCUUCAAAUUCAGCUUUGGUUGUAAUAAUGGCCGAUUCCACAUUUCUAAUUCUUUCUCUGAGAGAGUCCUUGUUCGCGUUAGGGUUCUUUGAGGC